AGCGGCGGACGGGUGAGUAACGCGUGGGUAACCUGCCUCAUACAGGGGGAUAACAGUUAGAAAUGACUGCUAAUACCGCAUAAGACCACGGAGCCGCAUGGCUCAGUGGGAAAAACUCCGGUGGUAUGAGAUGGACCCGCGUCUGAUUAGGUAGUUGGUGGGGUAACGGCCUACCAAGCCAACGAUCAGUAGCCGACCUGAGAGGGUGACCGGCCACAUUGGGACUGAGACACGGCCCAA
RNAcentral lists this ribosomal RNA (240 nucleotides) under uncultured bacterium. RNAcentral describes it as "partial 16S ribosomal RNA". It matches the Rfam family "Bacterial small subunit ribosomal RNA", at positions 94 to 334 of the family's 1533-position model. The record is from RNAcentral.